Molecule: long non-coding RNA, 207 nt
Filed under: Lathyrus oleraceus (garden pea)
Lineage: Eukaryota; Viridiplantae; Streptophyta; Magnoliopsida; Fabales; Fabaceae
Description: Pisum sativum (pea) long non-coding RNA (PSAT_LNC015770)
Source: RNAcentral
UUUUUCUUUGGUAUCCCACACUUCCUUUUUUUUAACUUGAGGUGAAUCAUCCACUUAUAAUUCAUCCACAUGUUGAUCAUUUUGGCCAACAACUAACCUUUCUAGUCCUACCAACACCUCAUCAAUUCCAUCAUUUAAUACCUUGUCAUUGGAGUCAUUAAACCUACACCCUAAUGCACUAUCAUCACUUUGUUCACUAUGGUCACU